GACCAGAUAGCCUAGUGGUUGAAGGCAGCACAUCUAGUGAUUCUGAGGUCCUGGGUUCAAAUUUCAGUCUGGUCA
RNAcentral lists this transfer RNA (75 nucleotides) under Endocronartium harknessii PhW48OC. RNAcentral's name for it is "tRNA-Thr (AGT) (tRNA-Thr-AGT-19-1)". It matches the Rfam family "tRNA". From Rfam's summary of the family: Transfer RNA (tRNA) molecules are approximately 80 nucleotides in length. Lineage: Eukaryota; Fungi; Basidiomycota; Pucciniomycetes; Pucciniales; Coleosporiaceae. The record is from RNAcentral.